UGGACACCAUUUUUCUAUAGUGAACCGGUUUCACAAGCUUUCCACGCGCUAAUUAACAAUCAUUUUAAAUUUAAAGAUAGGCUCUCGUGGAAUAACCGUUUAUGUGCACCACUCAGAAUGGACGGACAAGCGCACAACCUUUCUGUUGCUGAUGAAAAUCACAGAAAUGUGGGAAAGAAACGUAAAACAAAACUAAAAGAAUGGAAAGACAGGCAAAGGAAGAUCUUACGGGAUGCGGGAAAACCCUAUACAAAUCGUAAGGGUCAAGAAAAAACUGGGAAAAGCUGUCCAAAAGAGCAUGAGGUGAAACGGAGACGUAAACCUGAGGAUACAAAGGAGAACAAACGACGGAAACAAACCUUCAAAUACCAUGUACAGCAAGCAGGCCAGAGAUUGAAUGUGUGCAAGGUUACUUUCAUGUCUGUGUUCCAGCUAACCAACAGCCGUCUUCAGGCAAGUGAAAAUAUGAAUUAAUGUCUAUAUGAAUAUCAAUUACAAACAUAUUGUAUUCUCUGUACAGAUGCUGACAGAUGCUGUGGGCAGAAUAACAACUGGCGGAUGCUCAAUCUGAUGUCGAUGCUCGUCUCUAUGGGUUACUUUACCCAAGUUGAGCAGAAGUUCAUGGUCUCUGGUCAUUCUUUUCUUCCUUGUGAUCGAUCUUUUGCCACCAUCGAGAAGAGGCGCAAGGUGUCAGUCCUUCAUACACCUGAUGAUGUUUCAAAGAUGAUACUUGAAGCACAACCAGCAAAACCAUUCAAGGUGAUGAGGAUGCAAUGUGAAGACUUCAGGCACCUCCCAGAUUCUGUCCUCAAGCGACCAGCUGGACUACAGAUCACCUCAGUGAGGUGGUUAAAAGUCACAGUUGAGGAUCCUUGGAAUCUGUACGCCAAACAGAGCCACAGUCUGUUUGAGGGAUGGAAGUCGUGGCUGAUCUCCAAACCAAAAGGAGGAGCUACACCUCAACCUCCCUAUUUUGCAAUCCACUACCCUAGAGCAUAUGAGAGUCCUCUGCCCAUCAAAAAAAAAAACAAGUACCAAGAUCUGAUGACCAUGCUCAACUACUUGCCAGCUGCUGCACGCUCUUUUUAUGAAUCACUGCAGAGUGAAUAAUUUGUUGUUAAACCAAGCUACAUAAUUAAACGUUUUUUCUGUGAGUUUAUGAUCCCCUGAACCUGUAUAGUAUGUUGAAUCUGAAUACAUUUCAGAAGACAUGUCACCCCUAUUGUAGGAAAUUAAAUGUAUCGUAGGUGUUUUCUAUGUGAAUCAAUUUGUGUAUGAUUUGAACCAGCACAAUAUAUUGAAUUAAUUUAAUUUUAAG
Molecule: non-coding RNA, 1318 nt
Organism: Oncorhynchus mykiss (rainbow trout)
Lineage: Eukaryota; Metazoa; Chordata; Actinopteri; Salmoniformes; Salmonidae
Source: RefSeq, a predicted model, not a curated record